RNAcentral lists this small nuclear RNA (21 nucleotides) under Arabidopsis thaliana (thale cress). RNAcentral's name for it is "snRNA_14223". The record is from RNAcentral. Lineage: Eukaryota; Viridiplantae; Streptophyta; Magnoliopsida; Brassicales; Brassicaceae.
UAUUUGGAAGAACUUCAGAAU